UGGGGAAUUUUGGACAAUGGGCGCAAGCCUGAUCCAGCCAUUCCGCGUGAGUGAAGAAGGCCUUCGGGUUGUAAAGCUCUUUCGCAAGGGAAGAAAACUUACUCUCUAACAUAGGGUGAGGUUGACGGUACCUUGAUAAGAAGCACCGGCUAACUACGUGCCAGCAGCCGCGGUAAUACGUAGGGUGCGAGCGUUAAUCGGAAUUACUGGGCGUAAAGCGUGCGCAGGCGGUUUUGUAAGUCAGAUGUGAAAUCCCCGAGCUCAACUUGGGAACUGCGUUUGAAACUACAAGACUAGAAUAUGUCAGAGGGGGGUAGAAUUCCACGUGUAGCAGUGAAAUGCGUAGAGAUGUGGAGGAAUACCAAUGGCGAAGGCAGCCCCCUGGGAUAAUAUUGACGCU
Molecule: ribosomal RNA, 400 nt
Filed under: uncultured bacterium
Lineage: Bacteria
Description: bacterial SSU rRNA
Rfam family: Bacterial small subunit ribosomal RNA
Source: RNAcentral